RNAcentral lists this transfer RNA (86 nucleotides) under Azoarcus sp. RNAcentral describes it as "tRNA-Thr". It matches the Rfam family "tRNA". Rfam says of the family: Transfer RNA (tRNA) molecules are approximately 80 nucleotides in length. The record is from RNAcentral. Lineage: Bacteria; Pseudomonadati; Pseudomonadota; Betaproteobacteria; Rhodocyclales; Zoogloeaceae.
GCCGGGUUGGCUCAGCGGCGACAGCAUCUGCCUUGUAAGCAGACGGAGCUUUUCCCCCGUGGGUUCGAGUCCCACACCCGGCUCCA